Long non-coding RNA from Ictidomys tridecemlineatus (thirteen-lined ground squirrel), 1078 nucleotides. RefSeq lists it as uncharacterized. NCBI's taxonomy places the organism in Eukaryota, Metazoa, Chordata, Mammalia, Rodentia, Sciuridae. The record is from RefSeq and is a predicted model, not a curated record.
GGCCGGGCAGGAUGUAGAAGAGUUCAAGUGUGUCUCUGUUGAAGUUUAACAGCAAAGUACCUGGGCCCGUGUGAAUGGGUUCAUGCAAGUGCAAGGGUAUCCAUGAUGGAAAUCUUUUUAAAAAGUAGCCUUGAAAAAAAAAAUCAGAGUUUUUACGGUAGAGAUUUGGAAACAGUCCACAUCUCCCAUGGAGGCAACCCUCAUGUUCCCCUUUUGGAGGACAGAAAAGGAGAUAAAUGAACUGAAACCUCCCCCCACCCCGCUGCUGCCCCUGCCAACUGGAAACCAGAACGGAGCCUUAAGGCAGAAAACAAAGUAUAUUCCUGCACGUUCCUGCGGUCGCUUUGACAGGUGUUCACCUUUGUGUGACUGCAUUGGAGUGUGGGUGAGGUUGGCACUGGAGGCCCCAAACUCUGAUUGUCUCUUUUGCUCCCUGGGCAUGAAGUGAGCAGCUUUGCUCUAUCACGUAAUCACGCCAUGGUGUGCUGCUUUCUGCAAUCCCAAAGCAGUAGGACCAAGAGACCGUGGACUGAAACCUACACAACGUCCCUUCCUAAAACAAUCGUUUUGUCACCAUGCCUGAAGAACUCACGGUCAUGGACCAAGUUCCUUCUGACCUUGUGGAUGGGCAGCAGGAGGGCAGCAGAGGAGAGACGCACUCAGAGCCCGAAGGGCUGUCUUGGUACCCUGCGCGUGAAGGUCCAUAAAUGGCCUCCUUGACGUCUCCCACUUGAACAGGUCAUCCAGCGCCUGAAUGUGCCUGAGACAGGGUCUCUGGUACCUAGGCCAGCCUGGGGCUCCUGAGCUGAAGAAGUCUUCCUGCCUUAGCUAAGUGCUGGGACUACAGACACUGGCCAACCCUGGCUGUGAUGAGUUUGAUGAACCAAAUCGGCUAUUUAUCCAACACAAUUACCACAGGGAACAUUUGUAUCACCCAAAAAAAAAAAAACCCCUCUGUCCCCCUCUGUAAUCAACAGCUUUUGAACAAUCCUAGCUCCUGGCAAUCACUAUCAUUCCCCACCCCCACCUCUGUGGUCGGACGUUUCCAGAAAUCUUAUAAAUGGAACCAUAGAGUGUA